CUUUCCUCUCUCUCUCUCUAUCCACUCUCAUGUCCCUUCCCUGUAAUCUGUCCCAUAUCCUCCCUAUUUCUUCCCAAUUUGGUGCCCUCUCUUUCUUUGGUUAUCAUGGUUAGAUAUAUAAUGUUUAAAUAUAUAGAUACAAACUAUGAAGUCUGCUCAGAGUGGUAUGAGUAUAUGAUUUCAGCUCUGACCAUUUUCUAUUGGAUAAGCAAUUAGAGCCCUCAUUCCUGGGAGAAGUAGUUCACACACUCUUGGCAGUCAUGCCCUGUCUCCAGUUGUUUGUCUAGAGAUGGGUUCUCUAUGACAUUUCCUCUUUCUACCUUCGAAUAUCUCUGUCGUCCUUGUUCAGAUCUUGUUUAGGCAGCCAUAUUGUUGAUGAAUAUCUUGUGACAGUAUCUCACAGAACUUUCCAGGCCUCUGGCCUUUACAAGUUUUCUCUGCCCUGCCCUGUGAUUUUCUGAGCCUUGGCUACAAGAGUUGUUGUGAUGGUUUGUAUAUGCAUGACCUAGGGAGUGGUGCCAUUAGGAGUAGGUGUGUCACUGUGGCUGUGUGCUUAAAACCCCCACCCUAGCUGCUUGGAAGUAAGUCUUCAACUAGCAGCCUUCAAAUGAAGAGAAAACUCUCAGCUCCUCCUGCACCAUGCCUGCCUAGCUGCUUCCAUGUUCCCACCUUGAUGAUAAUGGCCUGAACCUCUGAACUGAACCAGGAUGGGCUGGACUCGUUUAGAAGAUACAUGGCUCUUCGGGCUUCUGAGAUGGCAGCCAUCGGUGAAGGUGUACAAAUCACUUCUGUCUAUGAUUUUGAGGGUGACAUACAGGCCAAUCACCUGUAAUUGAUCUUCUGUGUUGGGAUCUCAGGCAUACAGGAAAGUAACCAGAUGUUCACUGUAGAGAUGGUUUGCUGUUUCUGUGCCUGUCAUGAAAAAGUAGCAAGUGGAUGAAGUCCAAGCUGCUCAUCACCUGAACAGAUUCCGGGGAAGGGUCCCGUCCAACUGAAGAAACUUCAAAGUUCACAUGUCACAGAGCCAGAAUCCCACAGCAUCCAUUUUUGGCCUCCAGGAACCCACAAGUUAAACUGCUAUCUUCAGUCUAGGACUGUGGUUGUGGGUCAGACCAGGAGGCUGGUGGGUACCAUCUGUUGUCCUCAGAGAGGUCAGAGCUUUGGAAUCCUCAGCUAAAACAGGAGCUAUCACAUAACUUCCAGAGAACUGUGGGUUCCUGCUCUUAGCCAUUGUUUCUCCUACCCUAGGAUGAUCAGGGAAGCGUUGAUUAUGGAAACAGACAGUGGGUAUUGAGUGAGGUUAAUGUUAGUUCAACUCUGUGGAUAAACUGUGUAAAGACAAGGAGAUUAAAGAAUCCAGCAGCAAAGAUAGACUGGACCCAAACCUCUGACGACAGGGCUGUGUGCUCAAGAGGGAGACAUGGAGGUAAGCUCUGCACUGCAACAACCCAAGAAGAUAUAAUGCCACAUCACCACAGUGCAGGGCCAGACAGGACACUAGAGUGCAGGGAACUUUAUAAACACUCAGAAACAUUUAGGGAGAAUCAUAAAACAAGGGGAAGGAAGGUGUGGGGGGGUGGUAUUGCAUUUUGCUGUCAGGAAAGCUUUGCAGGAAUUUCUGGGAUCCAUCCUGUCUCUUCUACAAUGGUAAAUGUUAACAUCACAGUUGGGACUCAUAUUUGCCUCUUGCAAAGGACCCCUGUAUGUUCUACAGUCAAUGAGUGGGCUGAAUAUCGCUCCCUUGCAGGGCAAUCCUUGAAUAUCUCAUUUGCCUCAUCCCAUCUUUAUUGGAAUCAGCCCCGAGUUACCUACAAUCCACCCAUGUAGCUAGAAUUAUUUCCCAAAAGCAUAGUAAAAGGUAAAAGGCAUACGUACAUUUUUUUUUCAAAACCUUAUUGAAGAAAUGUUUACAUCUUUUAGCUUUUGUAAAACAAUCAACUCAGUUUCCUCAGGAUUCCCCUUUAAUUUUUGCUACACAUUUCAAUGGAAUAAAUUGGUAUUUUUAUAUACCUCACAAUCAACAUAUACUGAAAAUAUGCAUCUGUAACCAUGUAUACAACAGUAUGAGUACAUGUGCUUAUUUAGAUACUGACAAUAUUAUAAAAUAUAUCUUCAUGUU
Molecule: long non-coding RNA, 2119 nt
Organism: Mus musculus (house mouse)
Lineage: Eukaryota; Metazoa; Chordata; Mammalia; Rodentia; Muridae
Product: predicted gene, 35392
Exons: 3
Source: RefSeq, a predicted model, not a curated record